This 305-nucleotide ribosomal RNA is filed under the name uncultured bacterium. Its description in RNAcentral is "bacterial SSU rRNA". It matches the Rfam family "Bacterial small subunit ribosomal RNA", at positions 335 to 639 of the family's 1533-position model. The record is from RNAcentral.
AUCCUACGGGACGCAGCAGUGAGGAAUAUUGGUCAAUGGGAGGAAUCCUGAACCAGCCAUGCCGCGUGCAGGACGACGGCUCUAUGAGUUGUAAACUGCUUUUGUACCGGGGUAAAAUGUCUUACGAGUAGGGUUUUGAAAGUACGGUACGAAUAAGGACCGGCUAACUCCGUGCCAGCAGCCGCGGUAAUACGGAGGAUGCGAGCGUUAUCCGGAUUUAUUGGGUUUAAAGGGUGCGUAGGCGGGUUUUUAAGUUAGUGGUUAAACGUCGGGGCUUCACCUUGAUUUGCCAUUAUUACUGUAAG